RNAcentral lists this non-coding RNA (121 nucleotides) under Aminomonas paucivorans. Its description in RNAcentral is "MoCo sequence". It matches the Rfam family "Molybdenum/Tungsten riboswitch aptamer (Moco RNA motif)". RNAcentral also lists the same sequence under 1 other name. The record is from RNAcentral. Lineage: Bacteria; Thermotogati; Synergistota; Synergistia; Synergistales; Synergistaceae.
CCCUAAUCCAUCCUCCGAGCUGCGGUGCCUAAAGACGUGAGGUCCAGGGUUCGCAGCCGUCUAGGGUGUCCCUGGAAACGGGGGUGCCUCCCUUCCGGAAAGGAGGACGGCAAUCCAUGCC